UACGUAGGGGGCAAGCGUUGUCCGGAAUUAUUGGGCGUAAAGAGCGCGUAGGCGGCCCGAUAAGUCCGCUGUAAAAGUCAAAGGCUCAACCUUUGAAUGCCGGUGGAUACUGUCGGGCUAGAGUCCGGAAGAGGCGAGUGGAAUUCCUGGUGUAGCGGUGAAAUGCGCAGAUAUCAGGAAGAACACCUAUGGCGAAGGCAGCUCGCUGGGACGGAACUGACGCUGAGGCGCGAAAGCGUGGGGAGCAAACAGGAUUAGAAACCCCUGUAGU
Molecule: ribosomal RNA, 271 nt
Filed under: uncultured bacterium
Lineage: Bacteria
Description: partial 16S ribosomal RNA
Rfam family: Bacterial small subunit ribosomal RNA
Source: RNAcentral